Molecule: ribosomal RNA, 460 nt
Filed under: uncultured bacterium
Lineage: Bacteria
Description: partial 16S ribosomal RNA
Rfam family: Bacterial small subunit ribosomal RNA
Source: RNAcentral
CCUACGGGUGGCAGCAGUGAGGAAUAUUGGUCAAUGGACGAGAGUCUGAACCAGCCAAGUAGCGUGAAGGAUGACUGCCCUAUGGGUUGUAAACUUCUUUUAUAUGGGAAUAAAAUGUUCCACGUGUGGGAUUUUGUAUGUACCAUAUGAAUAAGGAUCGGCUAACUCAGUGCCAGCAGCCGCGGUAAUACGGAGUAUCCGAGCGUUAUCCGGAUUUAUUGGGUUUAAAGGGAGCGUAGGUGGAUUGUUAAGUCAGUUGUGAAAGUUUGCGGCUCAACCGUAAAAUUGCAGUUGAAACUGGCAGUCUUGAGGACAGUAGAGGUGGGCGGAAUUCGUGGUGUAGCGGUGAAAUGCUUAGAGAUCACGAAGAACUCCGAUUGCGAAGGCAGUUCACUGGACUGCAACUGACACUGAGGCUCGAAAGUGUGGGUAUCAAACAGGAUUAGAUACCCCUGUAGUC